CCCAGCUCGCACUCCACCCUGGAGCCGUUCUGGUUGGCCAAGCACAGAACCUUGUCCUGGGGGGGGACAGGGCUGAGACCUGUCCGUCUGUCCGUCUGUCCCCCUGUCCGUCUGUCCCCCUGUCCGUCUGUCCCCCUGUCCCCCUGUCCCCCUGUUCCUCUGUCCGUCUGUCCGUCUGUCCCCCUGUCCCUCUGUCCGUCUGUCCGUCUGUCCCCCUGUCCGUCUGUCCCGCUGUCCGUCUGUCCGUCUGUCCCUCUGUCCCUCUGUCCGUCUGUCCGUCUGUCCCCCUGUCUGUCUGUCCCCCUGUCCCUCUGUCCGUCUGUCCGUCUGUCCCCCUGUCCCUCUGUCCGUCUGUCCGUCUGUCCCCCUGUCCGUCUGUCCGUCUGUCCCCCUGUCUGUCUGUCCGUCUGUCUCUCUGUCCGUCUGUCCCUCUGUCCGUCUGUCCCCCUGUUCCUCUGUCCGUCUGUCCCUCUGUCCCCCUGUCCGUCUGUCCCCCUGUCCUUCUGUCCGUCUGUCCCUCUGUCCCUCUGUCCGUCUGUCCCCCUGUUCCUCUGUCCGUCUGUCCCCCUGUUCCUCUGUCCGUCUGUCCGUCUGUCCCUCUGUCCCUCUGUCCCUCUGUCCCGCUGUCCCCGCUGUCCCGUGCCCAGCCGUGCCCGUCCCGUGCCCGUCCCCACUGUCCCGUGCCCGUCCCGUGCCCAGCCGUGCCCAGCCGUGCCCACCCCGUGCCCGUCUCCGCUGUCCCGUGCCCAGCCGUGCCCAUCCCUGCCCAUCCCGUGCCCGGCCGUGCCCACCCCGUGCCCGUCCCCACUGUCCCGUGCCCAUCCCGUGCCCGGCCGUGCCCACCCCGUGCCCGUCCCCACUGUCCCGUGCCCGUCCCGUGCCCGUCCCGUGCCCCGCCGUGCCCACCCCGUGCCCACCCCGUGCCCAUCCCGUGCCCAGCCGUGCCCACCCCGUGCCCGUCGCUGCGCAGGGCGGCGUAGGGCAGCUCCGGGGGGAAGGCGGCGGCCAGCAGCGCCUGGUGGGCAUCGUCCCCGUCCCGCUGCGGCUCCGCGGGCACCGAGGGCUCGUUGGUCACCAGCACCUCCAGCGCCACGUCCUUCUGCUCGCUGACGGCGAAGAUGGCAGUGCCAGCCUCGUCCCUGCGGGCACAGCCACCGUGGGGACACCGCGGGCGCCCAGCGAGAGGUGGCAGUGCCACCCUCACCCCUGUCACUGCCUUGGGGACAUCCCUGGGCACUCGGAGAGGUGGCAGUGCCACCCUCACCCCUGGGACUGCCCUGGGGACAUCCCNNNNNNNNNNNNNNNNNNNNNNNNN
RNAcentral lists this long non-coding RNA (1315 nucleotides) under Lonchura striata (white-rumped munia). RNAcentral's name for it is "domestica (Bengalese finch) lncRNA (ENSLSDG00000002751.1)". The record is from RNAcentral. Lineage: Eukaryota; Metazoa; Chordata; Aves; Passeriformes; Estrildidae.